Amphiprion ocellaris (clown anemonefish) is the source of this 2144-nucleotide long non-coding RNA. NCBI's taxonomy places the organism in Eukaryota, Metazoa, Chordata, Actinopteri, Pomacentridae. The record is from Ensembl.
CUUCACCUCUGGACUGUGGAGGAGGGAGUGGCAUUGAACAGAAAGGAGGGUGUGUGACGGCCAGAGAAGGAGCUUUCUGCUUUCACGCGUUGCCAAGCAGUGAAAGAGUGUCUGUCACAGAGGACAAGCAAAGAGACAGAGCGGAAAAGUUGGACAAGAAAGAAAGAGACAAAGGGAGAAAGCUGGUUAGAGAGAAGAGAGCUGAAAAGAGCUCCUAUCUACCGUCCCACCCCCUGAUCUUCCUCCUCUCAGCUCAGACGGGAAGAAGAAAAAAAGGAAAAAGGAGUGCAGAGAGAGAGAGAGGUAGAGCUCAGCCUCGCUCGCUCUUUAGCGCAGGACUCAGGAAUUUCCAGGACCUUUGGAGUUGUGAGCGCUCACAUGCACACGCUGCUUUUCUCGUGGUGAUACGAACCUGAGCAGAGAGGCAGUGAAAAGGAAAGAAAAGAAGGCGAGGGAAUGAGUGAAUAACCAGCUCCUCCAGUGGACUAUCUGGCCAACGAUGGCACCUGCCGAGGAGAAAGUGAGUCAGAGGAGCUGCUGAUGAAGGUUUCCCAGAGACUAUGGGUUGAGGAGGAAUUGGAAGUUUGUCAGCUUAGACCUGGUGUCAUUCCAUCAGUGUUAAACUUCCCGGCUCAUCUUGGAAGAGUAUGUGCCAGAAAGACCACGACCAAGCAGCCCUGAGAUCUUAGACAGCGUCUCCCUGAGGUGGGUGUCGACGGUGUUCACAGUCAGGUCUGUAGAGGGGGGAGGCCGCCACCCACCUCCCCGCCUACUCUCCGCCCUGACUCCACCCAGACUCCGCCUUGGCUGCACCCAUGUGGUCACUUUAUUAACUAUGAUGCCAAAGGGAUGAUGAAAUUACUUUUUUUUAUCUGAUCUAUAGCUCAGUGAGUUAAGGAUUUGCCUGUAGAGCUGCAGGUCGCUGGUUCAAGACCAGACCCUUCUUAAAUUUUAUGAAAAUCCUGACAAAGACAAACAAAGAAAAAUGCCAGUGGUGGGUCUUGAACCUGCAACCUUCCACUUGGUAGUCCCUCUUCUUAUCCCCUGAGCUACUCGCUCAGAUACUAAAUCUUCUUUUUUUUUUUACACAUUUAUCAUCUAUUUUUUUCUCCGUUUUUGAGUUUUUUUUAACUUGAGUCUCGACUCGACCCUUUUUCUCAGGAGGUUGGACUUCAGCCUUUGUGCUGGAGGGUUGAACCCUCAGUUCCAAGACUUUCAAAGCCUCCACACCUCCCGAGUCCUCAGGACCUGAGCUUUCACACAGUCUGAGGGCUGAAAUUUCCUAAGUCCCACAGUAGUUCUCUGUUAGAUUGAACUUCCAGACAGUCCAAGGACUGAUAUCUUCUAAGUUCCUGAGUACUUCUCUGUUAGUUUGAACCUUCAGACAGUCUGAGGACUGAAAUCUUAAAAGUUCUUGAGUAGUUCUCUGUUAGUUUGAACCUUCAGACAGUCUGAGGACUGAAAUUUUAUAAGUUUCUCAGUACUUCUCUGUUAGUUUGAACUUUCUGGUUAGCAGAAGCCUUAAAACUUGUGACCAUGAGUCUUGAUUUCACGUUUAGAUCAUCCACCUGAGUUCUUCUCAGACCUUCACCUGUGGGUUCUUUAGAAAUCCUCAACAAACUUUGAUUCUCUUCACUGAACAGUAAAGUUUGUGGAGAUCAGAAGGUAACAUUAGUUUGAUCAAUGCCUUCAACUACUAGUAGACUUUAUCUGGAAAGCAGUUUUCUGAAAUGAGUUCUUAGUAAAUCUAUCCACAAUCAAACCAAGAACAUAGAAAGAGGAAAUGUUUGAAGAAACAACUUGAUGUUUUCGUUUCAGACUAGAAAACGCUUUAAGAUCUUUAUCUGUUUUUGCUCUUUUUGAUCGUUUUAUUGUCUCUUCUGUUUAAUUUGAUCUUCUAAAGUCUAACUGGUGUCUUUUGAAAUGCUUCGUCUUUAGUUUGAUUCUUCUUAAACGUUUAGUUUUGCUCUUUUCUCACCUUUUAUUCUUUUCUAAUGUCUGAUUUCGAUUUCCGAAUGUUUUGUCUUUUUAAUGUUUAAUUGUUUUUUCAAAUGUUUUAUCGGCUUGUUUGAGUUUCUUUUUCUUUCCCAAUAUUUAAUGUUUCGAUUAAAUCUUUAAGGUUUUUCUUUUUAAAUGUUUUACCA